UGCAGUCGAACGCUUCUUUUUCCACCGGAGCUUGCUCCACCGGAAAAAGAAGAGUGGCGAACGGGUGAGUAACACGUGGGUAACCUGCCCAUCAGAAGGGGAUAACACUUGGAAACAGGUGCUAAUACCGUAUAACAAUCAAAACCGCAUGGUUUUGAUUUGAAAGGCGCUUUCGGGUGUCGCUGAUGGAUGGACCCGCGGUGCAUUAGCUAGUUGGUGAGGUAACGGCUCACCAAGGCCACGAUGCAUAGCCGACCUGAGAGGGUGAUCGGCCACAUUGGGACUGAGACACGGCCCAAACUCCUACGGGAGGCAGCAGUAGGGAAUCUUCGGCAAUGGACGAAAGUCUGACCGAGCAACGCCGCGUGAGUGAAGAAGGUUUUCGGAUCGUAAAACUCUGUUGUUAGAGAAGAACAAGGAUGAGAGUAACUGUUCAUCCCUUGACGGUAUCUAACCAGAAAGCCACGGCUAACUACGUGCCAGCAGCCGCGGUAAUACGUAGGUGGCAAGCGUUGUCCGGAUUUAUUGGGCGUAAAGCGAGCGCAGGCGGUUUCUUAAGUCUGAUGUGAAAGCCCCCGGCUCAACCGGGGAGGGUCAUUGGAAACUGGGAGACUUGAGUGCAGAAGAGGAGAGUGGAAUUCCAUGUGUAGCGGUGAAAUGCGUAGAUAUAUGGAGGAAC
This 679-nucleotide ribosomal RNA is filed under the name Enterococcus faecium. RNAcentral describes it as "bacterial SSU rRNA". It matches the Rfam family "Bacterial small subunit ribosomal RNA", at positions 56 to 707 of the family's 1533-position model. Lineage: Bacteria; Bacillati; Bacillota; Bacilli; Lactobacillales; Enterococcaceae. The record is from RNAcentral.